UAAGCGGAGGAAAAGAAACUAACAAGGAUUCCCCUAGUAACUGCGAGUGAAGCGGGAAAAGCUCAAAUUUAAAAUCUGGCGGUCUUUGGCCGUCCGAGUUGUAAUUUAGAGAAGCGUCUUCCGCGCCGACCGUGCACAAGUCUCCUGGAAUGGAGCGUCAUAGAGGGUGAGAAUCCCGUCUUUGGCACGGAUGCCCGGUGCUUCUGUGAUGCGCUCUCGAAGAGUCGAGUUGUUUGGGAAUGCAGCUCAAAAUGGGUGGUGAACUCCAUCUAAAGCUAAAUAUUGGCGAGAGACCGAUAGCGAACAAGUACCGUGAGGGAAAGAUGAAAAGCACUUUGGAAAGAGAGUGAAACAGUACGUGAAAUUGUUGAAAGGGAAACGCUUGAAGUCAGUCGCGUCGACCGAGACUCAGCCUUGCCUCGGCUUGGUGUACUUCUCGGCCCGACGGGUCAGCGUCAAUUUUGCUCCUCGGAUAAUGGCAAGGGAAAGGUGGCACCUUUACGGGUGUGUUAUAGUCUCCUGUCGCAUGCGAGGGUUGGGAUUGAGGAACUCAGCGCGCACCUUGGUGUCGGGGCUUCGGCCCACGUCACGCGCUUAGGANGCUGGCGUAAUGNNUUUNAACGANC
This 626-nucleotide ribosomal RNA is filed under the name Lactarius sp. GAL14255. RNAcentral's name for it is "LSU rRNA". It matches the Rfam family "Eukaryotic large subunit ribosomal RNA", at positions 47 to 649 of the family's 3401-position model. Lineage: Eukaryota; Fungi; Basidiomycota; Agaricomycetes; Russulales; Russulaceae. The record is from RNAcentral.